CCUACGGGAGGCAGCAGUGGGGAAUUUUGGACAAUGGGCGCAAGCCUGAUCCAGCAAUGCCGCGUGAGUGAAGAAGGCCUUCGGGUUGUAAAGCUCUUUUGUCAGGGAAGAAACGGUGGGGGCUAAUAUCUCCUGCUAAUGACGGUACCUGAAGAAUAAGCACCGGCUAACUACGUGCCAGCAGCCGCGGUAAUACGUAGGGUGCAAGCGUUAAUCGGAAUUACUGGGCGUAAAGCGUGCGCAGGCGGUUUUGUAAGUUUGUCGUGAAAUCCCCGGGCUCAACCUGGGAAUGGCGAUGAAGACUGCAAGGCUAGAAUCUGGCAGAGGGGGGUAGAAUUCCACGUGUAGCAGUGAAAUGCGUAGAGAUGUGGAGGAACACCGAUGGCGAAGGCAGCCCCCUGGGUCAAGAUUGACGCUCAUGCACGAAAGCGUGGGGAGCAAACAGGAUUAGAUACCCUGGUAGUCCACGCCCUAAACGAUGUCUACUAGUUGUCGGGUUUUAAUUAACUUGGUAACGCAGCUAACGCGUGAAGUAGACCGCCUGGGGAGUACGGUCGCAAGAUUAAAACCUCAAAGGAAUUGACGG
RNAcentral lists this ribosomal RNA (586 nucleotides) under uncultured bacterium. RNAcentral's name for it is "bacterial SSU rRNA". It matches the Rfam family "Bacterial small subunit ribosomal RNA", at positions 338 to 916 of the family's 1533-position model. The record is from RNAcentral.